AGCGAACGCUGGCGGUAGGCCUAACACAUGCAAGUCGAACGGCAGCACAGGAGAGCUUGCUCUCUGGGUGGCGAGUGGCGGACGGGUGAGGAAUACAUCGGAAUCUACUUUUUCGUGGGGGAUAACGUAGGGAAACUUACGCUAAUACCGCAUACGACCUACGGGUGAAAGCAGGGGAUCUUCGGACCUUGCGCGAUUGAAUGAGCCGAUGUCGGAUUAGCUAGUUGGCGGGGUAAAGGCCCACCAAGGCGACGAUCCGUAGCUGGUCUGAGAGGAUGAUCAGCCACACUGGAACUGAGACACGGUCCAGACUCCUACGGGAGACAGCAGUGGGGAAUAUUGGACAAUGGGCGCAAGCCUGAUCCAGCCAUACCGCGUGGGUGAAGAAGGCCUUCGGGUUGUAAAGCCCUUUUGUUGGGAAGGAAAUCCAGCUGGCUAAUACCCGGUUGGGAUGACGGUACCCAAAGAAUAAGCACCGGCUAACUUCGUGCCAGCCGCCGCGGUAA
This 506-nucleotide ribosomal RNA is filed under the name uncultured bacterium. Its description in RNAcentral is "partial 16S ribosomal RNA". It matches the Rfam family "Bacterial small subunit ribosomal RNA", at positions 29 to 523 of the family's 1533-position model. The record is from RNAcentral.